This 441-nucleotide ribosomal RNA is filed under the name uncultured bacterium. Its description in RNAcentral is "partial 16S ribosomal RNA". It matches the Rfam family "Bacterial small subunit ribosomal RNA", at positions 338 to 795 of the family's 1533-position model. The record is from RNAcentral.
CCUACGGGAGGCAGCAGUCGGGAAUAUUGCGCAAUGGAGGAAACUCUGACGCAGUGACGCCGCGUGCAGGAAGAAGGUUUUCGGAUUGUAAACUGCUUUUGACCGGGAAGAAAAAAGACAGUACCUGUCGAAUAAGCUCCGGCUAACUACGUGCCAGCAGCCGCGGUAGUACGUAGGGAGCAAGCGUUAUCCGGAUUUAUUGGGUGUAAAGGGUGCGUAGACGGAGAAGCAAGUUAGUUGUGAAAUCCCUGGGCUUAACUGAGGAAGUGCAACUAAAACUACUUCCCUUGAGUACUGGAGAGGAAAGUGGAAUGCCUAGUGUAGCGGUGAAAUGCGUAGAUAUUAGGAGGAACACCAGUGGCGAAGGCGACUUUCUGGACAGUAACUGACGUUGAGGCACGAAAGUGUGGGUAGCAAACAGGAUUAGAUACCCUUGUAGUC